Molecule: long non-coding RNA, 461 nt
Filed under: Elaeis guineensis (African oil palm)
Lineage: Eukaryota; Viridiplantae; Streptophyta; Magnoliopsida; Arecales; Arecaceae
Description: long non-coding RNA (EGUI_LNC027562)
Source: RNAcentral
UGAUGAAAAGGAGGAGGUUAAGGAGUUGGCUAUAUCAGAUGGAGGGAUCGAUUGUGUUCGGAGAGGCCAAGGUGAUUGUUUCAGUCAUGAAAGAUCAAUCGGAGGUCCAGUCGGUGCAGAUUGAAUAGUUGAUGGUGUGUUUAUCAGAGUUGUCUAUUGCAGGAUCGUCGGAUCAUAGGGAGCUGGAGCACCAAGGACAUGUGCGUCCACACAUGGAGGAGGAGGAGCACCGGGGAGAGCUUUCUUCACGGAUGAUGAUGAAGUCCAUGGCCAUGGCCCGAGCUCUAGGAAUGGAGGUGCAGAGAGAGGUAGAGUUUUUCAGAUGCUCGAACGGUGGUGAGUAGGCAUCAGGAGAGGGCCUAGAGGCUUAUGUAUCGGAGAUAGAUGCUACGGCGGCAAUAGGAUAUAGAGAGGAUCCGAAGACCUAUGAGAAGACUUCCACCAGCACAGAUCAUAGGUGG